GAAUAUUAUCUUUUAUGGGUUUUUGAAACAGUAUAAAACUGACAUGAUAUUUUUUCUUCCCACAUUCCAGUGGAUCAUCUUGCAAACUCUGUGGAAUGUUUGGAGACCUUGCUCUACCUAUAGUUCUAAACAGGACACCGAAAGUGACCUUCUCAUGUUUUUAUUUGUUAUGAGCUCUGUGCAUGUUUUAUGUGAAGAGUCCUGGGGUCAAAUUAGGUCAGAGAACCCUGCUAACUUCGGUCUUGUUGCAGUCCUUAUGUAAAUGAGCACCCUGAAGAUUCUAAGAAAGCUCUAGUGAAAAGGAAAACGGAGCAUUUCUCAGGCUGACCCUACCAUUUACUGUGUAACAUUUAUUCACACACCUUGAAACUACUGUUAGCAUAAGAUUCUUUGGGAAAUACUAAGUUACACUGCUUACUGGCUUCUGCCUGCAUCACUACAUGUAUUUGCCGUCACAAAAUAUGGCUUCCUCCUUCUUGUGUCUUUUCUGCACUGGGAUCCAUGAUCUGAGAUCAUCUCAGAUGGAUCAUGACAAGCACAAAACUUUAUUAUUAUUUUAGAAAUCACCUGGUCUUUCAUGGACAGCUCUGUCCAUGAAACAAUCAGUAACAAUCAGUUAUACAGUAGCCUUAAAAAAAAUAAAUUUGUUUAUUUAUGGCUGCA
Molecule: long non-coding RNA, 663 nt
Filed under: Bos indicus x Bos taurus (hybrid cattle)
Lineage: Eukaryota; Metazoa; Chordata; Mammalia; Artiodactyla; Bovidae
Description: lncRNA (ENSBIXG00000026751.1)
Source: RNAcentral